GCUUACUUCGGUAAGUGGAAAGUGGCAGACGGGUGAGUAACGCGUGGCAACCUACCUUUUUCUACGGAACAACAGUUGGAAACGACUGCUAAUACCGUAUACGCCCUCCGGGGGAAAGAUUUAUCGGUGAAAGAUGGGGCCGCGUUAGAUUAGCUAGUUGGUGAGGUAAUGGCUCACCAAGGCGACGAUCUAUAGCUGGUCUGAGAGGAUGAUCAGCCACACUGGGACUGAGACACGGCCCAGACAACUACGGUUGGCAGCAGUGGGGAAUAUUGGACAAUGGGGGCAACCCUGAUCCAGCCAUGCCGCGUGAAUGAUGAAGGCCUUAGGGUUGUAAAAUUCUUUCGCUAGGGAUGAUAAUGACAGUACCUAGUAAAGAAGCCCCGGCUAACUCCGUGCCAGCAGCCGCGGUAAUACGGAGGGGGCUAGCGUUGUUCGGAAUUACUGGGCGUAAAGCGUGCGUAGGCGGAUUAUUAAGUUAGGGGUGAAAUCCCGGGGCUCAACCUCGGAACUGCCUCUAAAACUGGUAAUCUAGAGAUAUGGAGAGGUAAGUGGAAUUCCUAGCGUAGAGGUGAAAUUCGUAGAUAUUAGGAGGAACACCAGAGGCGAAGGCGGCUUACUGGACAUAUACUGACGCUGAGGCACGAAAGUGUGGGUAGCAAACAGGAUUAGAUACCCUGGUAGUCACACCGUAAACGAUGAGAGCUAGUUGUCUGCAAGCAUGCCUGUAGGUGACGCAGCUAACGCAUUAAGCUCUCCGCCUGGGGAGUACGGUCGCAAGAUUAAAACUCAAAGAAAUUGACGGGGGCCCGCACAAGCGGUGGAGCAUGUGGUUUAAUUCGAAGCAACGCGCAGAACCUUACCUACCCUUGACAUGCCGGUCGCGAUUUCCAGAGAUGGAUUUCUUCAAUUCGGUUGGACCGUGCACAGGUGCUGCAUGGCUGUCGUCAGCUCGUGUCGUGAGAUGUUGGGUUAAGUCCCGCAACGAGCGCAACCCUCACUGUUAGUUGCC
This 1012-nucleotide ribosomal RNA is filed under the name uncultured marine bacterium. Its description in RNAcentral is "bacterial SSU rRNA". It matches the Rfam family "Bacterial small subunit ribosomal RNA", at positions 73 to 1119 of the family's 1533-position model. The record is from RNAcentral.